RNAcentral lists this ribosomal RNA (986 nucleotides) under Bacillus subtilis. RNAcentral's name for it is "bacterial SSU rRNA". It matches the Rfam family "Bacterial small subunit ribosomal RNA", at positions 143 to 1113 of the family's 1533-position model. Lineage: Bacteria; Bacillati; Bacillota; Bacilli; Caryophanales; Bacillaceae. The record is from RNAcentral.
AUAACUCCGGGAAACCGGGGCUAAUACCGGAUGCUUGUUUGAACCGCAUGGUUCAAACAUAAAAGGUGGCUUCGGCUACCACUUACAGAUGGACCCGCGGCGCAUUAGCUAGUUGGUGAGGUAAUGGCUCACCAAGGCGACGAUGCGUAGCCGACCUGAGAGGGUGAUCGGCCACACUGGGACUGAGACACGGCCCAGACUCCUACGGGAGGCAGCAGUAGGGAAUCUUCCGCAAUGGACGAAAGUCUGACGGAGCAACGCCGCGUGAGUGAUGAAGGUUUUCGGAUCGUAAAGCUCUGUUGUUAGGGAAGAACAAGUACCGUUCGAAUAGGGCGGUACCUUGACGGUACCUAACCAGAAAGCCACGGCUAACUACGUGCCAGCAGCCGCGGUAAUACGUAGGUGGCAAGCGUUGUCCGGAAUUAUUGGGCGUAAAGGGCUCGCAGGCGGUUUCUUAAGUCUGAUGUGAAAGCCCCCGGCUCAACCGGGGAGGGUCAUUGGAAACUGGGGAACUUGAGUGCAGAAGAGGAGAGUGGAAUUCCACGUGUAGCGGUGAAAUGCGUAGAGAUGUGGAGGAACACCAGUGGCGAAGGCGACUCUCUGGUCUGUAACUGACGCUGAGGAGCGAAAGCGUGGGGAGCGAACAGGAUUAGAUACCCUGGUAGUCCACGCCGUAAACGAUGAGUGCUAAGUGUUAGGGGGUUUCCGCCCCUUAGUGCUGCAGCUAACGCAUUAAGCACUCCGCCUGGGGAGUACGGUCGCAAGACUGAAACUCAAAGGAAUUGACGGGGGCCCGCACAAGCGGUGGAGCAUGUGGUUUAAUUCGAAGCAACGCGAAGAACCUUACCAGGUCUUGACAUCCUCUGACAAUCCUAGAGAUAGGACGUCCCCUUCGGGGGCAGAGUGACAGGUGGUGCAUGGUUGUCGUCACCUCCUGUCCUGAGAUGUUGGGUUAAAUCCCGCAACAAACGCAACCCUUGAUCUUA